CAGUCGCACGGUAAUACGUAGGUGGCAAGCGUUGUCCGGAAUUAUUGGGCGUAAAGGGCUCGCAGGCGGUUUCUUAAGUCUGAUGUGAAAGCCCCCGGCUCAACCGGGGAGGGUCAUUGGAAACUGGGAAACUUGAGUGCAGAAGAGGGGAGUGGAAUUCCACGUGUAGCGGUGAAAUGCGUAGAGAUGUGGAGGAACACCAGUGGCGAAGGCGACUCUCUGGUCUGUAACUGACGCUGAGGAGCGAAAGCGUGGGGGGCGAACAGGAUUAGAGACCCCCGUAGUCCCUGUCUCUUAUACA
Molecule: ribosomal RNA, 301 nt
Filed under: uncultured bacterium
Lineage: Bacteria
Description: partial 16S ribosomal RNA
Rfam family: Bacterial small subunit ribosomal RNA
Source: RNAcentral